This is a long non-coding RNA of Polyodon spathula (Mississippi paddlefish), 2852 nucleotides long. RefSeq lists it as uncharacterized. The record is from RefSeq and is a predicted model, not a curated record. The transcript is spliced from 4 exons. Lineage: Eukaryota; Metazoa; Chordata; Actinopteri; Acipenseriformes; Polyodontidae.
UGGAAUUGUGUUUUAUCAGCUGAAGCCUGAUGUCCAGAAUGAUCAGUCCUGUUCUGAGGCGUGCAGUAAUUGGAUCUGGGGGUUUCUGAAGUGGCCGGCUUUGCAUUGUACCUUCUUGAUUAACGUGCUUAUUUACAAUACUUUAAAAGAUCGGACUCGAAAUGUACUUUUAGCUGGUAGUACACUGCCCUGUUUGCUGAGAAAACUUACCAGUGUACGAUCCGUUGUGUCUUUGAUUGUUAAUGUUUAGUUUUUGUUAUUUGUUUCUUAUUAGAACGCAGUUCUGAUUGUUUUAAAGUGAAAAUACCAUCAUGCUUUAGAAGGCUCAACCAGGAUGGCUGCUGCUGUCUCUUCUGUUGCAAUGAUCGUGCCUGAAGAUGAACUCAAGUGUCCCAUCUGCCAGGAUCUGAUUAACAACCCGGUGACAAUCCCCUGUGGACACAACUUCUGCAUGAAGUUCAUUGACAAUUACUGGAGGAGGACACUCUCCUUGUCUUACUCGUGUCCUCACUGCAGGUAAUCGUUCUCCCAGCUCCCCUCCCUGCACCCGAACACCAUGCUCUGCUCCAUGAUCAAGCACACGGUGAAAAGCAAAGGGCUGAAGCCAGACUGCAGUGGCACAAGACAGGGAUGUGCCCUGCAAUGUCUGUACUGGUACGAAGCUCAGGGCCGUGAAGACGGGCGUGAACUGCCUGGCUUCUUUCUGUGAUGUUCAUCUCAGGCCUCACCUGGAGAGCGGUGUGCUGAGGCUGCACGGACUGAGGGACCCAAGCACCACAAGAGGCUGCUGGAGUACUUUUGUAAGAAGUGCCUCUGCAAUCUGUGCCUGGCAAAGCACCGGAAGUGUCCGACUCAGACAGUGGAAGAGCGACAAGGGGUAAAAGAGGUAACUGCUAGUCAGUUUAAGGCUGAUGUAACCACGUACUUUGUUGGUCUAAGAGAGAUCAUUGCUGGCACACACCAUUGCGCUUAUUGAAGCUGGAGAGCUGGAGGGCUGGAGGUCUUGGGACAAACAGCAAGCAUCUUGGAGUUGCUGAACCUGAAAACCCAAAAGAUGGAGGAAUACGAAGAGGAAAUUAACAAACAAAUCAAUGAGACGGACCUUUCUGAUUUUCUAAAGGUUGGCAUGUGAUAAAGAGCAGAGGACAGACAGGCUGUGUUCAGCUAUGAGAAGCAGAGGUACCUGCAGUUACAGCCUGGCCCUUUAAGAGAUUAUGUGACGUUUUUAUAUUAUUUAUUGCAUAGCAGUUUCCCCCAUUCCUCAUUCCAAUAAACCUGAUUAGCGAUCGUAUAUAGGUAAGAAGCGCAGGUGGGUCUUAUUAUAGUAAAACCAGGAAUGGAUCAAACCUCUAUGCAAUGGGAGUCAUAUUUUCAUCCCUGAGAUAUUGGAGCCUAUUCACAAAUCUCUAACCUCAAGAUCGCCAACAAGUCUAAGAAAUCGUAUUUAAUUCUUUAACAGCACAAACUGGUGUUGCCUCUUCUGUAUGAGCACCCUAAAUACCCAGCUCGAAUCAGUCCUGGAUCUACAAGAAACAGGCCAGUUGUGUUUGAUAAUGUAUGGUUCGAAACAGGAUACAUAACAAAGAUUUAAUAUUCUCAUUUUGUUUCACAUGUGUGGCAAAAAUAGAUAAUGUUAAACGUAUAAGAAAGUAAGUCAAAUAGACAAAGGUGCCAUGAUCCGAACGUAUUUUUGCUGCAGUUAUGGACAAAAAUAAAUUAAUAAAUCCAUUUACUCCACAGAUCCAGAUUCAAGGGACUUUGAUUUGGUCAGUGGCCAUCAGAAGCCAAGGAGUAAACUAAUGCAAUGUGCCUGUGAGUUACCCUUUGACUCCAGCACUUCCAGUGCCUCUGUUCUACUGUCUGAACUCAGCUGUGUAGCGUCUGUUGAAGAGGCUGACCUACAGGCCUGGAAAGACUAUGUGGUCAACGUUGACAUGGGCUUCAGAAUUCUGUGCACCCGAAAUUUCCAAAGCAGGCAGCAAGACUGGGAAGUGGACAGAAACAGCAACUGGGCAAUCAGAGUGUCCUACAGGAGUGUAUCCGAUCGCUACCGCACAUUGGGCAAGGACAAGACAUCGUGGUGCAUAAAAUCACGCUGUGUGUACGUGAAGGAGGCUGCAGGAUUUGAAUUGCCUUCCAAGGGUCUUUUUGCUUAUGACGGUGUAGUGCACGAAGUCCCUCAGCAGUGUCCCGGGAACGUGGGAGUCUAUCUAGACUGCAAUAAGGGAUCCCUGUCUUUCUUUUCUGUGUCCGAUACAAGGUUCUGUUCACCAAGCCUGUGUACUCUGCUGUCUGGCUGAGACAGCCCAAGAGUAAAAUUAAAAUCAUUGAACAGAGCUCUAAUAAGAGUCAGGUCUCUGAGGUAAUGGAUCAGUCUUUCAGUUCUAGAUUCUAGCUGAGUGGCUAAGUGUUGGUGAUGGGGUCUGCAGUUCAGCAACGCAAUAUAUUUUGUCAACAUAAUCCCAAUUGUUUGGCAUAAAGUCAGCUGGGGAAAAAGAACAACCCCCCCCCCCCUUCAAGAUUGUUCUGCCACCCUUUUAAGGUAUGUACUUCAUAAACUAGGUUACUGUUUUUGUAGGUUUGGUUGUGGCGGUUGGUAACCCCAAGCAAGUUGUUUUUCUUUUUAUCCCAAUGUUUAACAUAUGCAAUUCCUUGUAUCCCUAAUCAUGAACACUUUAUACCAAAUUCGUACAGCAAUUUCUUGGUAUAGCUCUUAUUAUCACAGUAGCAUUUGCGCAUUCUUAUGUUUACACAGAAACUAUGAUAUAUAACUAUCCUUUUAAGUUUAUUUCAACAGCAGGUGUUAGAAUCAAAUUCCUAGCAAACCCAAAGCAAGCAAUAAGGUUUAGGCU